GACGUUGAUAGGUUGGAUGUGGAAUGGCGGUGACGCAUGAAGCUGACCAAUACUAAUUGCUCGUGAGGCUUGACUAUACGACACCCAAGCAGUUG
RNAcentral lists this ribosomal RNA (95 nucleotides) under Acinetobacter sp. Ag2. RNAcentral describes it as "partial 23S ribosomal RNA". The record is from RNAcentral. Lineage: Bacteria; Pseudomonadati; Pseudomonadota; Gammaproteobacteria; Moraxellales; Moraxellaceae.